GUCCACUUGGAUGUCCUGUGCCGCUGGCCUGUCCCAGUGGGGCCACCUUCCUUCCUGAUGGCUUCAGAGAAACCAUAAAGAAUGGGACUGUAGGUGGUAUUCCUGAGUACUUCCCUCCCAGGGAGUCCCAGCUUGCCGUCCCCACCUCCAUCUGCCUCGCCCAUUGGGUCCUCCUCUACCCUGCAGCCCCUCCYGCCCUCAAAGAGCAGCCAUGCGGAGCUCUGCCUCCCUCCAAGGGUGGCUGCUGGGAGGGUCCUGGCAACAUCGCCCUCCACCUGGACACCCCACUGAGGAGAACAGAAGACACAAGCUGCUGCUAGCAGAGGACUCUGAUUCUUCCUAUAAAAGAGGAGCCUUGAGAAUGUGCCCAAUCUACACACAUCCUCCAGGAUGCCCAGCAACAAUCUGGGACCAGAGAUCCCAAAGAAAAGAGGAAGAACAUCAAGAAUGGAGGUUCUGGCAGCUGUCAAACCUCAGAUGCAGGAAAGAUCUGGAGUGGUCAAAGAUGUUCUGA
RNAcentral lists this long non-coding RNA (514 nucleotides) under Urocitellus parryii (Arctic ground squirrel). RNAcentral describes it as "lncRNA (ENSUPAG00010009637.1)". The record is from RNAcentral. Lineage: Eukaryota; Metazoa; Chordata; Mammalia; Rodentia; Sciuridae.